GGGGGUAGAUAAGGACCGGUGUCCUUGCCGAUCUUCAAAAUCGAGUUGUCGUGCUAAUACCACGACUGGUAGGUUCGAUUCCUACAUACUCCCGCCA
RNAcentral lists this transfer RNA (97 nucleotides) under Clostridium polyendosporum. RNAcentral describes it as "tRNA-Sec". It matches the Rfam family "Selenocysteine transfer RNA". The record is from RNAcentral. Lineage: Bacteria; Bacillati; Bacillota; Clostridia; Eubacteriales; Clostridiaceae.